UUUUAGCCCAGAUCAAAAUGGAAACCCCACAGUGAAUAAAGCGUAUUGUUGCUGUGGUUGUAGAGCGACCGUAGAAAGCUCCUGCAAGUGCAUUGCAACAAAGGCUUUAUGAACGAGGAGUUGAAAUGGAGAGCCGGAUUAGCU
RNAcentral lists this small RNA (144 nucleotides) under Flavobacterium weaverense. RNAcentral describes it as "Flavo-1 RNA". The record is from RNAcentral. Lineage: Bacteria; Pseudomonadati; Bacteroidota; Flavobacteriia; Flavobacteriales; Flavobacteriaceae.